RNAcentral lists this long non-coding RNA (1132 nucleotides) under Helianthus annuus (common sunflower). RNAcentral describes it as "hypothetical non coding rna". The record is from RNAcentral. Lineage: Eukaryota; Viridiplantae; Streptophyta; Magnoliopsida; Asterales; Asteraceae.
UUUUUUGUGUUCCAUGUGUUCUUCCUAACCCUAAUCAUUUCCUCAAAAUUUCUGCCGGUUCUCUUUCUUCUCUCCUUUGCUCUUAAUCAAUUGUAAAAUGUCUUCUCCUAAAUCAAAGAUCUACUUUUUUUCUACUCUUCACCUUCAUCGCAAUCUGACAGCUAUUUGGAGGGUUUCCACACAAUCCAAAAGCUAACCUGCUGUCGCAGAGCACCUCUUCAUCACUUUCAUUGGAGGUUUCAAAGACGGAGAUCCGCCACGUGUCUCGGAAAUGGAAGGGCAGUCCUGAACACACAAAGGUCUGGAUUGAGCCUAACAAACUUCGUAGGGUCGCUGUUGUUUACUACCUCUGCCGUAACGGCCAGCUUGAGCAUCCGCAUGUUGAUGUUUCUUUCUCCUGUUCUGAUAGACUGGAUCUUCGAGAUGUAAUAGAUUGUAUAAAUUCUCUCCGAGGAAAAUGAAUGGCGGCAAUGUACUCGUGGUCUUCUAAACAGCUAUGUGACUUGCUGUAACGAUGAUGCUUUCGGAGUGGACGAUCUGUCAUGCGGCGCGGCUCAAAGGCUCCGAUGCUCAUGCUUUCGGAGUGGACGAUCGAUGUUCCAGAUCUAUCUAAACCGAUGUCGGAGAUAUCUCCGCUGAUUCUCCGCUUGUAUGCUUUUCAAUUGUUCAAUAAAUCGUAUUUCGUGUUAUAUAUCUAAUAGCAACUUGCUAUUUAAACUUUUUAAUUUACACGUGUAUCAACUAAUAGCAACUAAUUUUGGUUAACUUUUGGGCACUUAGUGAAUUAAUUUUAUUCCCAAGAGACCAAAAUAGUCAAAUGUAAACUGUAACAUCUUUGUUGUGCAGUGUGCGCAUAAUGAUGUUGAGUGUUGAUGAAUCAGGUUGUAGCAAAGAAGCAAACAAUUUCAUACCUGAAUGAUUUACUUGAAAAGGCUGAGAAGCCUGUGUUGGUCGACUUUUAUGCAACUUGGCAAAAAAAAAAAAAAAAAAAAAAAAAAAAAAAAAAAAAAAAAAAACUCUAUACCCUGUCACACUGUGAAAUCAAAGUUAUAUUUGUUCUGGGUUGAAUAUGAACGUGUGUACGCGGAUGUCUAUUUAUAUUUCCUGAACAACUUACUAAAUUGAAACUUGU